UACGUAGGGGGCAAGCGUUGUCCGGAUUUAUUGGGCGUAAAGAGCGUGUAGGGGGCCAUACAGGUCAGCUGUGAAAACUCGAGGCUCAACCUCGAGACGUCGGUUGAAACCGUUUGGCUAGAGUCCGGAAGAGGAGAGUGGAAUUCCCGGUGUAGCGGUGAAAUGCGCAGAUAUCGGGAAGAACACCCGUGGCGAAGGCGGCUCUCUGGGACGGUACUGACGCUGAGACGCGAAAGCGUGGGGAGCGAACAGG
RNAcentral lists this ribosomal RNA (253 nucleotides) under uncultured bacterium. RNAcentral's name for it is "partial 16S ribosomal RNA". It matches the Rfam family "Bacterial small subunit ribosomal RNA", at positions 524 to 776 of the family's 1533-position model. The record is from RNAcentral.